UCACGACGAGGACCGGACCGCGGAUGCCGCGAAGGACCCAUGCGGGCCCGAGCGGCUUGGGGUGAAGCCCCGAGUACCGCAAGGCACUCGGGGCCGGGCAACUCACCUGACCCGAACCCGACAGCUCACCUCGCAGGCGUCGGUGAGAAGGAAC
RNAcentral lists this small RNA (154 nucleotides) under Streptomyces sp. RNAcentral's name for it is "c-di-AMP sequence". It matches the Rfam family "c-di-AMP riboswitch aptamer (ydaO/yuaA leader)". From Rfam's summary of the family: This family represents a conserved RNA structure found upstream of the ydaO and yuaA genes in Bacillus subtilis and related genes in other bacteria. The ydaO/yuaA element is thought to act as a genetic "off" switch for the ydaO and yuaA genes in its native state. It is believed that the element may be triggered during osmotic shock leading to activation of ydaO, a predicted amino acid transporter gene, and members of the yuaA-yubG operon which code for KtrA and KtrB K+ transporters. The record is from RNAcentral. Lineage: Bacteria; Bacillati; Actinomycetota; Actinomycetes; Kitasatosporales; Streptomycetaceae. RNAcentral also lists the same sequence under 1 other name.